UAGGGAAUCUUCCACAAUGGACGCAAGUCUGAUGGAGCAACGCCGCGUGAGUGAAGAAGGUUUUCGGACCGUAAAGCUCUGUUGUUGGUGAAGAAGGAUAGAGGUAGUAACUGGCCUUUAUUUGACGGUAAUCAACCAGAAAGUCACGGCUAACUACGUGCCAGCAGCCGCGGUAAUACGUAGGUGGCAAGCGUUGUCCGGAUUUAUUGGGCGUAAAGCGAGCGCAGGCGGAAGAAUAAGUCUGAUGUGAAAGCCCUCGGCUUAACCGAGGAAUUGCAUCGGAAACUGUUUUUCUUGAGUGCAGAAAGAGGAGAGUAGAACUCCAUGUGUAGCGGUGGAAUGCGUAGAUAUAUGGAAGAAUACCAGUGGCGAAGGCGGCUCUCUGGUCUGCAACUGACGCUGAGGCUCGAAAGCAUGGGUAGCGAACAGGAUUAGAUACCCUGGUAGUCCAUGCCGUAAAACGAUGAGUGCUAAGUGUUGGGAGGCUUCCGCCUCUCAGUGCUGCAGCUAAACGCAUUAAGCACUCCGCCUGGGGGAGUACGACCGCAAAGGUUGAAAC
Molecule: ribosomal RNA, 559 nt
Filed under: uncultured bacterium
Lineage: Bacteria
Description: partial 16S ribosomal RNA
Rfam family: Bacterial small subunit ribosomal RNA
Source: RNAcentral